This 465-nucleotide ribosomal RNA is filed under the name uncultured bacterium. RNAcentral describes it as "partial 16S ribosomal RNA". It matches the Rfam family "Bacterial small subunit ribosomal RNA", at positions 28 to 507 of the family's 1533-position model. The record is from RNAcentral.
GACGAACGCUGGCGGCGUGCUUAACACAUGCAAGUCGAACGGAAAGGCCCUGCUUGCAGGGUACUCGAGUGGCGAACGGGUGAGUAACACGUGGGUGAUCUGCCCUGCACUUCGGGAUAAGCUUGGGAAACUGGGUCUAAUACCGGAUAGGAGCCAUCUUUAGUGUGAUGGUUGGAAAGUUUUUUCGGUGUAGGAUGAGCUCGCGGCCUAUCAGCUUGUUGGUGGGGUAAUGGCCUACCAAGGCGGCGACGGGUAGCCGGCCUGAGAGGGUGGACGGCCACAGUGGGACUGAGAUACGGCCCAGACUCCUACGGGAGGCAGCAGUGGGGAAUAUUGCACAAUGGGCGCAAGCCUGAUGCAGCGACGCCGCGUGGGGGAUGACGGCCUUCGGGUUGUAAACUCCUUUCGCUAGGGACGAAGCUUUUUGUGACGGUACCUAGAUAAGAAGCACCGGCUAACUACGUG